Molecule: ribosomal RNA, 445 nt
Filed under: uncultured bacterium
Lineage: Bacteria
Description: partial 16S ribosomal RNA
Rfam family: Bacterial small subunit ribosomal RNA
Source: RNAcentral
GUGAGGAAUAUUGGUCAAUGGACGGAAGUCUGAACCAGCCAUGCCGCGUGCAGGAAUAAGGUCCUAUGGAUUGUAAACUGCUUUUAUUCGGGAAUAAACCUCUUUCCGUGUAGGGAGCUGAAGGUACCGAAGGAAUAAGCACCGGCUAACUCCGUGCCAGCAGCCGCGGUAAUACGGAGGGUGCAAGCGUUAUCCGGAAUCAUUGGGUUUAAAGGGUCCGCAGGCGGGCUAUCAAGUCAGAGGUGAAAUCCCACAGCUUAACUGUGGAACUGCCUUUUAAACUGAUGGUCUUGAAUUAAGUGGGCGUUGGCGGAAUAUGACAUGUAGCGGUGAAAUGCAUAGAUAUGUCAUGGAACACCGAAAGCGAAGGCAGCUAACGAUACUUAUAUUGACGCUCAUGGACGAAAGCGUGGGUAGCGAACAGGAUUAGAUACCCGGGUAGUCC